Long non-coding RNA from Mauremys reevesii (Reeves's turtle), 1422 nucleotides. RefSeq lists it as uncharacterized. The transcript is spliced from 4 exons. NCBI's taxonomy places the organism in Eukaryota, Metazoa, Chordata, Testudines, Geoemydidae. The record is from RefSeq and is a predicted model, not a curated record.
GAGGUCAGUCAUGUCUCCAAGUUCUCCUGGAGUAGUUUCUACUAUUUAAUAAGCAGGCCUAGGAAAGACUAUCCACCAUUACUGCGAUUUGUUGUCUGAAACAGUGAAUGAAGAUGGCAUCUCCCGCCUGUAUGAAGCUUUUCAAGAAGUGCCUUUGAAAUCUGACAGGACCAGAAGGUACAUCCUCAAUAGACAUUACAAAUGGUUGCAGAAACUUGGAAAUCUCGUGUCAGGUUCUGCAUUCGACUAGGGAACCAGGACCAACACAGAAGACCUCUUCAUCCUGCUAUGGUCCUUUUCUGCAGAACUGCUGCCUAGCCACUCAACAGGUGCACUUCUGAACUGUGGGUCUGCACUGACCAGGGACAACAACUAUGAGGUGGGAUGUUAAGGGUGGGGUAUACUACAGGAACUUUGGAGUUGGACUCAAGAACCUGAAGCAAAAGACACUGCCCAGCGUACACUGGGAAGGGUGUUUUGCUCGUGCUUUUAUGUCUAUGGAUACCGCUUGACUGUUUUCUCAGAUUACUGCUAGGUUACUUUUAUUAAAGAAACUCUACCUCGGACUCUGUGCUUGCGAGAGGGGAAGAAUUGCCUCUUAGAGGCAUCCAGGCGUUACAGUGAAAUUUCCCCAGGUUCCCGGGUGGGGGCUUGAGCCGGUUCUGGUUGCAUUGUUGAAAAGGAACCCCCUAGGUGUUGAACCUGCCCUUCUCGCUGCCCACUUCAACUGGCAGAAGGGUUACAGACUGAACAGAACAGAACAUGGGGGAGCAGCAACACCCGGCUGCUAACAGGGCAGUUGGCCAGACCUUGACUGACCAGGUUAAACUCCCAACUGCUCAUUAAAUACUGAUAUAAAAUCCUCUGCAGACUGUGCCCCAUUUCCCCCAAAUUAUCAAAUAAUGAACCCAACGCAGGUCUCUCAAGCACCAACUGUGAAUCACCUGCCCCUCCCCUACUGCUCCCCCCCAGCUGAACAAGGGACCUUCUAACUCUAUCCCUGUUCCUGCCCCCUCUUAACAUGCCAUUGCCCAGCACUCCCCACUGUCCAUGUCAAUGGCAAAAUCUGAGGAGGUUUUAUGUUAAUAUUUAAUAAUUAGAUGGAGAAAUGUAAAAUCUAAGGCCCGGGCAGUUGUGUCCCUCCAAAACAGGGAGGAGUUGCUGUUGUUCUAAUGACUGGGGGGUACCCAAAGGGAUUUCACCGCAAUCUGUCAUCAUUAGGAAGAAAAUGGAGCAAAGUCUGAAUAUUUGAUAACAGGAGAGAAGUGUGGCAAGAUCUCUUGGGGAAGGAGCAUCAAUAUUCAACAAUCAGACAGUAAAAGGCAAAAUCUGAGGGGAAAUCAAAUCAAAAUUAAUUAAAUAACUGGAAAGUGCUGAUUCCCCUGGCCCUGCCUUUGACACAGGCAGCAGGGAGCCAUGGGG